Molecule: non-coding RNA, 559 nt
Organism: Coffea arabica (coffee)
Lineage: Eukaryota; Viridiplantae; Streptophyta; Magnoliopsida; Gentianales; Rubiaceae
Source: RefSeq, a predicted model, not a curated record
UCCAACACACAACCGCACAAGCACUCUACCUCCAUUGCCAAAACCGCGGCUCCACCUCCACUUUUCUUCACAAUCCAACUUCUCACCUCAGCUCCACAACACCAUUUCCCUUUCGGAUCAGCAGCUGGAGCAAGGUAGGAGAGCUGAAAUCCGCAAGCUACACCCAGUUUUCCAGCCGCAACAACCACCACAGCUCCACCAUCUGCUCAGCCAAGACAACCCCAAACCAGUCGCGAGCCUAGGGAAAUAAUUCUGCCCAGAUUUGUUCGUGCGUGAACGGAGCAUUAGCAGAGGGUAUCGUGAGGAAGUGGAACUCGAAUCCCAAUUUGACAUCUGAACUUCACUCUUGGUCUUGAAGUUUGAGAAAUCUGAGCAGUGCUGAUUUCUUUUAAUUUGUACUUGAAUCUUAAGACUGCAGUUUACCGUUGUAUUGUAUUGUGAAUUGAAAAACGUAUUGGUUAUUUUGGAUUGCCACUUGAAGCUGGAAAAUGUUUAAACCCUAAUUAUUAUGUUUGGCUUGUAUGGUUGUAAUCGUGGUGUGUGACAGUAUAUAUCCGGA